RNAcentral lists this ribosomal RNA (440 nucleotides) under uncultured bacterium. RNAcentral describes it as "partial 16S ribosomal RNA". It matches the Rfam family "Bacterial small subunit ribosomal RNA", at positions 338 to 795 of the family's 1533-position model. The record is from RNAcentral.
CCUACGGGAGGCAGCAGUGGGGGAUAUUGCACAAUGGGGGAAACCCUGAUGCAGCGACGCCGCGUGAGUGAAGAAGGAUUUCGGAAUGUAAAGCUCUAUCAGCAGGGAAGAAAAUGACAGUACAUGACCAAGAAGCCCCGGCGAACGACGUGACAGCAGCCGCGGUAACACGAAGGGGGCAAGCGUUAUCCGGAUUUACUGGGCGUAAAGGGAGCGUAGACGGUUCUGUAAGUCUGGAGUGAAAGCCCGGGGCCCAACCCCGGGACUGCGUUUGAAACUGUGUAACUGGAGUACAGGAGGGGCAGGCGGAAUUCCUGGUGUAGCGGUGAAAUGCUUAGAUAUCAGGCGGAACACCGGCGGCGAAGGCGGCCUGCUGGACUGCACCUGACGUUGAGGCUCGAAAGCGUGGGGAGCAAACAGGAUUAGAUACCCCUGUAGUC